AUUAUUUCUCUUAUAAGAACUUAAAUUUUAGAGAUAAAGAAAAAAAUAAAAAAAGCAAAGAAAUAGAAUUAGGUUGAUAAUAUCUAUAAAGAAAAAAAACAAGAUGUUGGAAGAGAACGAAAAGGAAGACCUAUUUAAGUAGGUCUGCACUCUGUAGAGAGCUAGAAUCUAUUGGAUGAAAACACUGGCCCUGAUAACUAUAAAAUUAGGAAUCAGCUAAGCUUAGAAUAUUUUAAGAGUAUUCCUAAGGCACAGAACAGUGAAUUCACAGAUUGUGGAGUGUGGAAGACUUUGACGUUUAAGGAAUAGAAUCACAACACUUUGACAAGAAACGGCUUACCAAGUAGAAGAGUGUGCCUGGAAAAUGAUCAGUAUAGCUGCAUUUUGCAAAAUGCAUCUGUGGACAUCACACUAAAACGAUGCAGCAACAAGACAGAAGGAGUCAAAGUAUUAUAUUACAUUUUGGAACAGAGCUUGCUGACAAACCUUAAAAAGGCUAUUACAGGUUAAAUUUAGGCUACUACAUUGGAGUAAAUAAAUUUCAGAAGAAUAAAACUGGACCUCCUAUCUCUCAUCAAAUACAAAAAUCAACUCGAGAUGAAUCAAAUGCUCAAAUAUAAGGCUUUAAACUUUAAAAAUACUAGAAGAACACCUAGAGAAAACUCUUCUCAACAUUGGCCUAGGCAAAUAAUUCAUGACAAAGAUCUCAAAAGCAUAAGCAACAAAACAAAAAAUAGACAAAUGGGAGUUAAUUAAACUAAAAAGCUUCUAAACAGUAAAUAAUAUUAAUCAUCUUCAUCAUCAUCAUCAACAGAGUGAACAGACAACUUGCAGAAUGGGAGAAAAUGUUUGCAAACUGAUGAAUUCAACUGGGGGCUAAUACCUAGAAUUUGCAAGGAAUGCAAACAACUCAUCAAGAACAAUAACAAAAACAAAUAACUCCAGUAAAAAGUGUGCAAGGAACAUGAACAUACUUUUUGCAAAAGAAAACAUGCAAGUGGCAAAAGAAACAUGUGAAAAAAAUGCUCAACAUCAUUAAUCAUCAGAGAAAUGCAAAUUAAAACCACAGUGAAAUAGCAUCUCACACCAGUCAGAAUGGCUAUUACUAAAAAGUUGAAAAAUAAUAGAUAGUGAGGAUGCCGAGAAAAGGGAAUGCUUGUGCACUAUUGGUAGAAAUGUAAAUUAGUAAAACCUCUAUGAAAAACAGUAUGGAGAUUAUUCUAAGGAUUAAAAACAGAACUACCAUUUGAUGUAGCAAUCCCACUACUAAUUAUAUAUACAAAACAAAAUGAAUCAUGAAAAUGAAAAGAUACCUGCACACAUAUGUUUAUCACAGCACUGUCUACAAUAGCCAAGAUAUAGAAUCCACUUAAGUGCCCAUCAACAGAUGAUUGUAUUAAAAAUGUGGUGUGUGUAAAUAUAUAUAAUGGAAUACUAUUCAUAAAACAUAAUGGAAUCAUGUCUUUUCUAGCAGCAUAAAUGGAACUGGAGUCUAGUAUAUUAAGUAAAACCAUGCAGAAAGAGUAAGUCCAAACUCACAUGUACUUAUAAGAUGGAGCUAAAUGAUGUGUACACCUGAUAGUAGAGUAACAGUUACUGGAGACUGGGAAGGGUAGGAAGAUAAAAGAGGGUGAGGGAUGAGAAAUUACUUAAUGGGUAUGAUAUACACUAUUUGGGUGAUAAUUACACUAAAAACCCUAGUUUUCACCACCACACAUUAUAUCUAUGUAAAAAAACUUCACUUUUACCUCUCGCAUUCAUAGAAAUUUUGAGAUUUUGCUCCACCAAUGUGCAACAUUGCCUUGGCAUAUUUUCCAAACCAGAUCAUAUGUCUAGAUUCUAAGAUUUCUUUUCAAAUUAUAUGGAAGGUAGAACUCAUUAAAUUUUGUAAUACAUAGUGUUAGUCAUCUAUACCUUUCCAGUCAACAAUAUAACUUGAUCUCAGUGUAUUCCAUUUUAUUACACAUAAAUGUAAAUUUAUCUACUUCAUUCUUUUAAAAAUCUAUAUAAAUCCCUUUCUGCAGAAGCUUUAUAAUUUAUCAAAACCGCCCUUCAAAAAUAUGACACAAUAACAGUCAUGUGACAAUUCUAAUCUUAAUGUAGUUUACUGGAGCCAAAACAUGAUUUUUUUUUUCUUACAACUAUUUGAUAGUAAGUAGGAUGCCUAUUCUCUUCUUUAUUUCUCAGUUUUUUUGACCCGUGAACAUGUUAGAAAACAUUUUUACUUUUAUCCUUGGACUGCCUCAAAAAGAAACCAACCCAGCAUUCUCACACAAAUCUCAUGUUUACUAAAAGUUGCCAACUGAUAGUGAAUGACUUCCAAACAUAAAUAUUGAGAAAAAAUUCAAUAUGUAAUCUUUCACAAUUAACCUUGAACUUGUAGGUCACUAAUAAAUUAUUUGAAAUACAUGUAUCUCACAUCUACCGAGAGAUUUCUGAGAAUUGACACAUCCUGCAACACUGUAAUAGAAAAUACUGUUUUCCUAGGAUUACCUUUGCCAUUAGGAAGAGUGCUUUAUUUUUUCAGUCAUUUUACACAGAAAAGAGAGAAUUACCAUGUCAUUUCUGUGAAAUAUUGGCAGUGUAUAACUUAGGAUUAGUUCAACUGCAAGUAAAAAGCAGAAAACAAAACAAAUAAUAGCAAUAUGAAAGCAAAAAGAAACAAAGCCAGAACAAAACUACAUAAGAAUAACACGAAUAAAAUAUGGUAUUUUCUUCGGUUGUUUACUCAAAUACCAUCAGAUAGCCUGUUCAGUGGACUGAUCCACAUCUUCACAUUUUUGUUCCCUUGAGUGUUCUGAUUGGUCAUUCUGCUUUUCCGUUUCUUCUUAGCCUAGGUUUUAGGUAUUUCUGAUUUUAUCACUUGUCGCAGCAUCCUAAAACUUGCAUUAAUCUUCUAUAUUUAGAACAUGUGUGUGUUCAUGUCAGAAACAUUUAUAAAACUAUUUGCCUUCACUAUCCAUGCAGGAUUUUGUGCUGUGUUUCUAUGAAUUGAUUCCUCAUAAGUUCAGAGACACUAACCAUAAACGGUCACUGAACAAUGCUCUGAAACACUGCAACAUUUUCCUAUUCCAUUCGUCUCUCUACAGUCGUUUUUAAAAUCAAUUUCAGUCUUGAUAAAACUUGGUAACCCCAAUUUCUUCCUUAUUUUCAGUCGAAGAAAUUGCAUCCUACUACAUAAUCAAAUAAAAAACAUUGGAUUGACAGCCACUUCUGCUUUACGUCCCAAAUACCUGGAACCUGGGUCCAUCAUGGUUUUGUGGGGGUUUUUUGUUGUUGUUGCCGUUGUUUUUAUUUUACUUCUUUUAUGUUGGUGGCAGUGGCUGCUGCCAUCACGCUACAUGGCUGGGGCUCCACACUACAUGGACUCUGUGGAAGCCCCUCCCCUUCUGAGAUGGGAUGGGAGCCACGAACCGCAGCUGCAGACCCAGGCCUCCUGCUCUACCCAGCAGAAGGAAGCCCUAACCUCCUGGGCGGGGCUACAGCCACCCAAACUGCAGCUUUGGAUCUGAGCUUCCUUGUGCUCUUGUGGGGGCCAGGAACAGGCAGGAUCUGCCCUCCCAGGGCAUCUUGCAGCUGCAGACCUGGGCCUCUGACUCACUAGGAGCUGGGGACAAGCGGGAAUCCCGCCCCUUCCGAGUUGGCAGGGCGGGAACUCCUGCGUUCAGCUGCAGCCCUUUAAUCUCAAGAGCAGGGUUGGAGCCAAGCCCUGGGGCCAUGAAUGGCAGCGGGAGGCAAAGUCCUGGGUGGGGAUCCUGGUGCCUCUUCCUGUCCUGCCCAUGGCCACCCGUACACCAAUCAGCAUGCACUUCCUCCCCUCUGAGGUCCAUAAAAGUCCUGGGAUCAGCCAGUGCAGGGCAGAGGAUGGACAGAGGACAAAGAGGGCAAAGAGAUGUCGGUGAGAGGUGACAGCGUGCUGGCAGCCCUCACAGCCCUCGCUUGCUCUCAGCACCUCCUCUGCCUGGGAUCCCACUUUGGCGGCACUUGAGGAGCCCUUCAGCCCGCCGCUGCACUGUGGGAGCCCCUUUCUGGGCUGGCCAAGGCUGAAGCCUGCUCCCUCAGCUUGCAGGGAGAUGUGAAGGGAGAGGCGCCAGCGGCAACCGGGGCUGCGUGGGGCGCUUGCGGGCCAGCUGGAAUUCCGGGUGGGUGUGGGCUUGGCGGGCUCCACACUCGGAGCAGCUGGCUGGCCCUGUCGGCCCUGGGCAAUAAGGAGCUUAGCACCUGGGCCAGCGGCUGCGGAGGGUGUACUGGGUCCCCCAGCAGUGCCGGCCCACCGGCGCAGCGCUCGAUUUCUCGGGGGGCCUUAGCUGCCUUCCCGAGGGGCAGGGCUCGGGACUUGCAGCCCGCCAUGCCUGAGCCUCCCCCCAGCCCCUCCGUGGGCUCCUGUGCAGCCCGAGCCUCCCUGAUGAGCGCCGCCCCCUGCUCCACGGCGCCCAGUCCCGUUGACCACCCAAGGGCUGAGGAGUGUGGGUACACCGCACGGGACUAGCAGGCAGCUCCACCUGCAGCCCCAGUGUGAGAUCCACUGGGUGAGGCCAGCUGGGCUCCUGAGUCUAGUGGGAAC
This 4564-nucleotide long non-coding RNA is filed under the name Homo sapiens (human). RNAcentral describes it as "HSALNT0204507". The record is from RNAcentral. Lineage: Eukaryota; Metazoa; Chordata; Mammalia; Primates; Hominidae.